GACGUAGGUGGCGAACGUUAUCCGGAAUUACUGGGCGUAAAGCGCGCGUAGGCGGCUUUGUAAGUUAGAGGUGAAAGCCUGGAGCUCAACUUCAGAAUUGCCUUUAAGACUGCAUCGCUUGAAUCCGGGAGAGGUGAGUGGAAUUCCGAGUGUAGAGGUGAAAUUCGUAGAUAUUCGGAAGAACACCAGUGGCGAAGGCGGCUCACUGGACCGGCAUUGACGCUGAGGUGCGAAAGCGUGGGGAGCGAACAGG
This 253-nucleotide ribosomal RNA is filed under the name uncultured bacterium. RNAcentral's name for it is "partial 16S ribosomal RNA". It matches the Rfam family "Bacterial small subunit ribosomal RNA", at positions 524 to 776 of the family's 1533-position model. The record is from RNAcentral.